Molecule: ribosomal RNA, 345 nt
Filed under: Triticum aestivum (bread wheat)
Lineage: Eukaryota; Viridiplantae; Streptophyta; Magnoliopsida; Poales; Poaceae
Description: partial small subunit ribosomal RNA
Source: RNAcentral
AUGGCGACGAGUGCUGCUCCGGGUCAACGCCAUUGUGCCUCCUACUGCGGAGUGCAGUACUCACCUCACCGCGCUGCAGUCCGUAUUUCCAAUGCAUGCAGCUCGCAACCCGCCGAUGUGCCGUCUAGCAAAAAUUCUGCAGUGCACUUGCCCAUGAGAAGUUCACUUCUUUUUCUAAUGCACUUUGUUUCGUUUGUGGCUCUCGAAAACAUGCAUAGAAGAAAAGAAAAAAAAUUAAGUGCAGCUCACUUAUUUCAUUACUGUAGUGAUCUUCUAUCUCCGAGCGGCUCACUAUGUUGCCAAGUGCAAAAACAAAUUGGAAGAAAACAAACUGGAAAAUUUUGA